CCUACGGGAGGCAGCAGUGAGGAAUAUUGGUCAAUGGACGAGAGUCUGAACCAGCAAAGUAGCGUGAAGGAUGACUGCCCUAUGGGUUGUAAACUUCUUUUAUAAAGGAAUAAAACGAGGCACGUGUGCCUUUUUGCAUGUACUUUAUGAAUAAGGAUCGGCUAACUCCGUGACAGCAGCCGCGGUAAUACGGAGGGUCCGAGCGUUAUCCGGAUUUAUUGGGUUUAAAGGGAGCGUAGAUGGGUUGUUAAGUCAGUUGUGAAAGUGUGCGGCUCAACCGUAAAAUUGCAAUUGAUACUGGCAGUCUUGAGUACAGUUGAGGUAGGCGGAAUUCGUGGUGUAGCGGGGAAAUGCUUAGAUAUCAGGAAGAACCCCGAUUGCGAAGGCAGCUUACUAAACUGUGACUGACAUUGAUGCUCGAAAGUGUGGGUAUCAAACAGGAUUAGAUACCCCUGUAGUC
Molecule: ribosomal RNA, 460 nt
Filed under: uncultured bacterium
Lineage: Bacteria
Description: partial 16S ribosomal RNA
Rfam family: Bacterial small subunit ribosomal RNA
Source: RNAcentral